Molecule: ribosomal RNA, 769 nt
Filed under: uncultured organism
Description: bacterial SSU rRNA
Rfam family: Bacterial small subunit ribosomal RNA
Source: RNAcentral
UCAGGAUGAACGCUAGCGGCAGGCCUAACACAUGCAAGCCGAGGGGUAGUCUCUUUCGGGAGAACACGACCGGCGCACGGGUGAGUAACGCGUAUGCAACCUACCUUUGGCACGGGGACAGCCCGGGGAAACCCGGAUUAAUACCCGGUAUAGUCUGUUAUACACCUGUAUAAAAGACGAGAGCUACGGCGGCCAAAGAUGGGCAUGCGUGCCAUUAGUUAGUUGGUAGGGUAACGGCCUACCAAGGCAUCGAUGGCUACGGGGUCUAAAAGGAUGAGCCCGCACACUGGUACUGAGACACGGACCAGACUCCUACGGGAGGCAGCAGUGAGGAAUAUUGGUCAAUGGGUGGAAGCCUGAACCAGCCAUGCCGCGUGCAGGAAGACGGCCUUAUGGGUUGUAAACUGCUUUUCUACGGGACGAACGGCUCUGACGUGUCAGAGAUUGACGGUACCGUAGGAAUAAGCAUCGGCUAACUCCGUGCCAGCAGCCGCGGUAAUACGGAGGAUGCGAGCGUUAUCCGGGAUUUAUUAGGUCUUACAAGGGUGCGUAGGCUGGGCAAGUAAGUCAGUGGUGAAAGUCCGCGGCUCAACCGUGGGGCAUUGCCAUUGAAACUGUUGUACUUGACGUACAGGUCGAGGUAGGCGGAAUGUGUAAUGUAGCGGUGAAAUGCAUAGAUAUUACCCAGAACACCGAUUGCGUAGGCAGCUUACCAGCCUGGGAACUGACGCUGAUGCACGAAAGCGUGGGGAGCGAACAGGAUUAGAUA